Molecule: ribosomal RNA, 253 nt
Filed under: uncultured bacterium
Lineage: Bacteria
Description: partial 16S ribosomal RNA
Rfam family: Bacterial small subunit ribosomal RNA
Source: RNAcentral
UACAGAGGGGGCAAGCGUUGUUCGGAAUUACUGGGCGUAAAGGGCGCGUAGGCGGCCUUCUAAGUCGAACGUGAAAUCCCCGGGCUCAACCCGGGAACUGCGUCCGAUACUGGAAGGCUUGAAUCCGGGAGAGGGAUGCGGAAUUCCAGGUGUAGCGGUGAAAUGCGUAGAUAUCUGGAGGAACACCGGUGGCGAAGGCGGAUCUCUGGGCCUUACCUGACGCUGAGGCGCGAAAGCUAGGGGAGCGAACAGG